UUCUCCCCGACCCUUCAAGUUGUGGCCUCACCCCACUCCCGAGUUGUGAUCUCCCUUAUCCCCGACCUCUAAGUUAGGGCUGCUACAAUCUUUUAUUUUAAAUGCUCCUCCCUCGCUGCUUUUCUCCUGAGCCUUCGCUCACAGCAAGGGCUCAAGAGAGGGAAGUGGUGAGUGGGAACAUUUUAAAACAAAAACAUGGAUUGUAGCAGCUCCAGCUCGGCGCUUCUGCACCAUCAGGACUCGCAAUUCCACAACAUCGGAGCUCCGACUUCGGGUCGUGUCUGGAGUGGCCGGGGAGCGGGGAGAGGCCACAACUUGGAGAGUUGGUGAGCGGAAAGGCUGCAACUUGGAGAUUUGGAGAGAGAGGGAGGAUCAGGGAGCAGGAGGUUCAGCAAGCAGGAUCGGGGCGAGCAGGAGGAAUCAACGUUUCACUUAAAAUCGUGAUUUUCAAGAACAUGACCACAAUUUUGUGAGGACUUACUGAACAAGAACUCGGCUGAAGCGGCCUCCAGUUGUGGAGAUCAAGAUACCGCUCUAGAGGGAGCAUUUGGACUACGCGCUCUUACCAGAAGAGGAACGGGAUAAUAACAUUUUACCUCCUUGUAAAUUCCUGCUCAAAUACUGAAAUGUAUUAAAACUCUCGCGUUUGAAAUAAA
This is a long non-coding RNA of Carcharodon carcharias (great white shark), 656 nucleotides long. RefSeq lists it as uncharacterized. The transcript is spliced from 2 exons. NCBI's taxonomy places the organism in Eukaryota, Metazoa, Chordata, Chondrichthyes, Lamniformes, Lamnidae. The record is from RefSeq and is a predicted model, not a curated record.